GCGGGAUUAGUACAGUGGUAGUACAUCAGCUUCCCAAGCUGAAAACGCGGGUUCGAUUCCCGUAUCCCGCU
RNAcentral lists this transfer RNA (71 nucleotides) under Candidatus Colwellbacteria bacterium CG10_big_fil_rev_8_21_14_0_10_41_28. RNAcentral describes it as "tRNA-Gly". It matches the Rfam family "tRNA". Rfam says of the family: Transfer RNA (tRNA) molecules are approximately 80 nucleotides in length. Their secondary structure includes four short double-helical elements and three loops (D, anti-codon, and T loops). Further hydrogen bonds mediate the characteristic L-shaped molecular structure. tRNAs have two regions of fundamental functional importance: the anti-codon, which is responsible for specific mRNA codon recognition, and the 3' end, to which the tRNAs corresponding amino acid is attached (by aminoacyl-tRNA synthetases). tRNAs cope with the degeneracy of the genetic code in two manners: having more than one tRNA (with a specific anti-codon) for a particular amino acid; and 'wobble' base-pairing, i.e. permitting non-standard base-pairing at the 3rd anti-codon position. The record is from RNAcentral. Lineage: Bacteria; Candidatus Colwelliibacteriota.